This 253-nucleotide ribosomal RNA is filed under the name uncultured bacterium. Its description in RNAcentral is "partial 16S ribosomal RNA". It matches the Rfam family "Bacterial small subunit ribosomal RNA", at positions 524 to 776 of the family's 1533-position model. The record is from RNAcentral.
UACGUAGGGUGCGAGUGUUAAUCGGAAUUACUGGGCGUAAAGCGUGCGCAGGCGGUUUUGUAAGCCAGAUGUGAAAUCCCCGGGCUUAACCUGGGAAUGGCAUUUGGGACUGCAAGGCUGGAGUGCGGCAGAGGAGACUGGAAUUCCUGGUGUAGCAGUGAAAUGCGUAGAUAUCAGGAGGAACACCGAUGGCGAAGGCAGGUCUCUGGGCUGACACUGACGCUCAUGCACGAAAGCGUGGGGAGCAAACAGG